Long non-coding RNA from Gossypium arboreum, 385 nucleotides. RefSeq lists it as uncharacterized. The record is from RefSeq and is a predicted model, not a curated record. NCBI's taxonomy places the organism in Eukaryota, Viridiplantae, Streptophyta, Magnoliopsida, Malvales, Malvaceae. The transcript has 2 exons.
AACAAAAAAAUGUGUAGACUAUGAGUUGGCAAGGAAUUCAACUAUAUAUUUUGUCUCUUUGUGGAGAAAUUGGAUUUUUAAGAUGAAGUGGAGUUGGUCAGCUCAGAUGAUGUUGAAACCUGCAAAAUGAUUUUUCUUUUUAAUUGCACUAUGAAAAAAUAAAUGUAGAAUUUGUAUUUGUUGAAGUUGGAAAUAAAUUUAUGGAAUAUCAUUUCAUUAAGAGUAGUUGUAUUUGGUUAUAAUUGCAAAACGAAGAAGAUGAUAUUGCAUUAAUUGCUUGUCUUGUUAUGCUUCUCUUAGUUUGUAUAUUUCUUAUUGGGAUUGCAAUUUGAUCUUCGGCGGCUAAGCUGAUUGCGUAUAUUAGAAUUUUGAGUGUUUGAGCAAA